GGAGGAGUAAUCAAGCCUGGCCAAAGAUGCAGGACUUAAGAUCCUGUCUCUCAGGAGUUCGCGGGUUCAAAUCCCGCCUCCUCCA
This 85-nucleotide transfer RNA is filed under the name Candidatus Nitrosopumilus sp. RNAcentral describes it as "Nitrosopumilus sp. tRNA-Leu". It matches the Rfam family "tRNA". From Rfam's summary of the family: Transfer RNA (tRNA) molecules are approximately 80 nucleotides in length. The record is from RNAcentral. RNAcentral also lists the same sequence under 2 other names. Lineage: Archaea; Thermoproteati; Nitrososphaerota; Nitrososphaeria; Nitrosopumilales; Nitrosopumilaceae.